This 292-nucleotide ribosomal RNA is filed under the name uncultured Acidobacteriota bacterium. RNAcentral describes it as "uncultured Acidobacteria bacterium partial 16S ribosomal RNA". Lineage: Bacteria; Pseudomonadati; Acidobacteriota. The record is from RNAcentral.
GGACUACCGGGGUAUCUAAUCCUGUUUGCUCCCCUAGCUUUCGUCCCUCAGCGUCAGUAGUGGUCCAGCGCGCCGCCUUCGCCACGGGUGUUCCUGCAGAUAUCUACGCAUUUCACCGCUACACCUGCAAUUCCACGCGCCUCUCCCACACUCGAGCACGGCAGUUUCGGAAGCAGUCACUGAGUUAAGCCCAGAGAUUUCACUCCCGACUUGCCACACCGCCUACGGACCCUUUACGCCCAGUAAUUCCGAGCAACGCUGGCCCCCUACGUCUUACCGCGGCUGCUGGCAC